RNAcentral lists this ribosomal RNA (2902 nucleotides) under human gut metagenome. RNAcentral describes it as "bacterial LSU rRNA". It matches the Rfam family "Bacterial large subunit ribosomal RNA". The record is from RNAcentral.
UUAAGCGACUAAGCGUACACGGUGGAUGCCCUGGCAGUCAGAGGCGAUGAAGGACGUGCUAAUCUGCGAUAAGCGUCGGUAAGGUGAUAUGAACCGUUAUAACCGGCGAUUUCCGAAUGGGGAAACCCAGUGUGAUUCGUCACACUAUCAUUAACUGAAUCCAUAGGUUAAUGAGGCGAACCGGGGGAACUGAAACAUCUAAGUACCCCGAGGAAAAGAAAUCAACCGAGAUUCCCCCAGUAGCGGCGAGCGAACGGGGAGGAGCCCAGAGCCUGAAUCAGUGUGUGUGUUAGUGGAAGCGUCUGGAAAGGCGCGCGAUACAGGGUGACAGCCCCGUACACAAAAAUGCACAUGCUGUGAGCUCGAUGAGUAGGGCGGGACACGUGGUAUCCUGUCUGAAUAUGGGGGGACCAUCCUCCAAGGCUAAAUACUCCUGACUGACCGAUAGUGAACCAGUACCGUGAGGGAAAGGCGAAAAGAACCCCGGCGAGGGGAGUGAAAAAGAACCUGAAACCGUGUACGUACAAGCAGUGGGAGCACGCUUAGGCGUGUGACUGCGUACCUUUUGUAUAAUGGGUCAGCGACUUAUAUUCUGUAGCAAGGUUAACCGAAUAGGGGAGCCGAAGGGAAACCGAGUCUUAACUGGGCGUUAAGUUGCAGGGUAUAGACCCGAAACCCGGUGAUCUAGCCAUGGGCAGGUUGAAGGUUGGGUAACACUAACUGGAGGACCGAACCGACUAAUGUUGAAAAAUUAGCGGAUGACUUGUGGCUGGGGGUGAAAGGCCAAUCAAACCGGGAGAUAGCUGGUUCUCCCCGAAAGCUAUUUAGGUAGCGCCUCGUGAAUUCAUCUCCGGGGGUAGAGCACUGUUUCGGCAAGGGGGUCAUCCCGACUUACCAACCCGAUGCAAACUGCGAAUACCGGAGAAUGUUAUCACGGGAGACACACGGCGGGUGCUAACGUCCGUCGUGAAGAGGGAAACAACCCAGACCGCCAGCUAAGGUCCCAAAGUCAUGGUUAAGUGGGAAACGAUGUGGGAAGGCCCAGACAGCCAGGAUGUUGGCUUAGAAGCAGCCAUCAUUUAAAGAAAGCGUAAUAGCUCACUGGUCGAGUCGGCCUGCGCGGAAGAUGUAACGGGGCUAAACCAUGCACCGAAGCUGCGGCAGCGACGCUGAUGCGUUGUUGGGUAGGGGAGCGUUCUGUAAGCCUGCGAAGGUGUGCUGUGAGGCAUGCUGGAGGUAUCAGAAGUGCGAAUGCUGACAUAAGUAACGAUAAAGCGGGUGAAAAGCCCGCUCGCCGGAAGACCAAGGGUUCCUGUCCAACGUUAAUCGGGGCAGGGUGAGUCGACCCCUAAGGCGAGGCCGAAAGGCGUAGUCGAUGGGAAACAGGUUAAUAUUCCUGUACUUGGUGUUACUGCGAAGGGGGGACGGAGAAGGCUAUGUUGGCCGGGCGACGGUUGUCCCGGUUUAAGCGUGUAGGCUGGUUUUCCAGGCAAAUCCGGAAAAUCAAGGCUGAGGCGUGAUGACGAGGCACUACGGUGCUGAAGCAACAAAUGCCCUGCUUCCAGGAAAAGCCUCUAAGCAUCAGGUAACAUCAAAUCGUACCCCAAACCGACACAGGUGGUCAGGUAGAGAAUACCAAGGCGCUUGAGAGAACUCGGGUGAAGGAACUAGGCAAAAUGGUGCCGUAACUUCGGGAGAAGGCACGCUGAUAUGUAGGUGAAGUCCCUCGCGGAUGGAGCUGAAAUCAGUCGAAGAUACCAGCUGGCUGCAACUGUUUAUUAAAAACACAGCACUGUGCAAACACGAAAGUGGACGUAUACGGUGUGACGCCUGCCCGGUGCCGGAAGGUUAAUUGAUGGGGUUAGCGCAAGCGAAGCUCUUGAUCGAAGCCCCGGUAAACGGCGGCCGUAACUAUAACGGUCCUAAGGUAGCGAAAUUCCUUGUCGGGUAAGUUCCGACCUGCACGAAUGGCGUAAUGAUGGCCAGGCUGUCUCCACCCGAGACUCAGUGAAAUUGAACUCGCUGUGAAGAUGCAGUGUACCCGCGGCAAGACGGAAAGACCCCGUGAACCUUUACUAUAGCUUGACACUGAACAUUGAGCCUUGAUGUGUAGGAUAGGUGGGAGGCUUUGAAGUGUGGACGCCAGUCUGCAUGGAGCCGACCUUGAAAUACCACCCUUUAAUGUUUGAUGUUCUAACGUUGACCCGUAAUCCGGGUUGCGGACAGUGUCUGGUGGGUAGUUUGACUGGGGCGGUCUCCUCCUAAAGAGUAACGGAGGAGCACGAAGGUUGGCUAAUCCUGGUCGGACAUCAGGAGGUUAGUGCAAUGGCAUAAGCCAGCUUGACUGCGAGCGUGACGGCGCGAGCAGGUGCGAAAGCAGGUCAUAGUGAUCCGGUGGUUCUGAAUGGAAGGGCCAUCGCUCAACGGAUAAAAGGUACUCCGGGGAUAACAGGCUGAUACCGCCCAAGAGUUCAUAUCGACGGCGGUGUUUGGCACCUCGAUGUCGGCUCAUCACAUCCUGGGGCUGAAGUAGGUCCCAAGGGUAUGGCUGUUCGCCAUUUAAAGUGGUACGCGAGCUGGGUUUAGAACGUCGUGAGACAGUUCGGUCCCUAUCUGCCGUGGGCGCUGGAGAACUGAGGGGGGCUGCUCCUAGUACGAGAGGACCGGAGUGGACGCAUCACUGGUGUUCGGGUUGUCAUGCCAAUGGCACUGCCCGGUAGCUAAAUGCGGAAGAGAUAAGUGCUGAAAGCAUCUAAGCACGAAACUUGCCCCGAGAUGAGUUCUCCCUGACUCCUUGAGAGUCCUGAAGGAACGUUGAAGACGACGACGUUGAUAGGCCGGGUGUGUAAGCGCAGCGAUGCGUUGAGCUAACCGGUACUAAUGAACCGUGAGGCUUAACCUU